GCUCACAUAGCUCAGUCGGUAGAGCACUUCCUUGGUAAGGAAGAGGUCACAGGUUCGAUUCCUGUUGUGAGCACCA
Molecule: transfer RNA, 76 nt
Filed under: Bordetella sp.
Lineage: Bacteria; Pseudomonadati; Pseudomonadota; Betaproteobacteria; Burkholderiales; Alcaligenaceae
Also listed under: 6 other names
Description: tRNA-Thr
Rfam family: tRNA
About the family: Transfer RNA (tRNA) molecules are approximately 80 nucleotides in length. Their secondary structure includes four short double-helical elements and three loops (D, anti-codon, and T loops).
Source: RNAcentral